UCGAACGCACCCUUCGGGGUGAGUGGCAGACGGGUGAGUAACGCGUGGGAACGUACCCUUUGGUUCGGAAUAGCCCUUGGAAACGAGGAGUAAUACCGAAUGAGCCCUACGGGGGAAAGAUUUAUCGCCGAAGGAUCGGCCCGCGUUAGAUUAGCUAGUUGGUGAGGUAAUGGCUCACCAAGGCGACGAUCUAUAGCUGGUUUGAGAGGAUGAUCAGCCACACUGGGACUGAGACACGGCCCAGACUCCUACGGGAGGCAGCAGUGGGGAAUCUUGGACAAUGGGGGAAACCCUGAUCCAGCCAUGCCGCGUGAAUGAUGAAGGCCUUAGGGUUGUAAAAUUCUUUCAGUGGGGAAGAUAAUGACGGUACCCACAGAAGAAGCCCCGGCUAACUCCGUGCCAGCAGCCGCGGUAAUACGGAGGGGGCUAGCGUUGUUCGGAAUUACUGGGCGUAAAGCGCGCGUAGGCGGACUAGCCAGUCAGAGGUGAAAGCCCAGGGCUCAACCCUGGAACUGCCUUUGAUACUGUUAGUCUGGAGUCCGGGAGAGGUGUGUGGAAUUCCGAGUGUAGAGGUGAAAUUCGUAGAUAUUCGGAGGAACACCAGAGGCGAAAGCGGCACACUGGACCGGUACUGACGCUGAGGCGCGAAAGCGUGGGGAGCAAACAGGA
Molecule: ribosomal RNA, 669 nt
Filed under: Marinicauda sp.
Lineage: Bacteria; Pseudomonadati; Pseudomonadota; Alphaproteobacteria; Maricaulales; Maricaulaceae
Description: bacterial SSU rRNA
Rfam family: Bacterial small subunit ribosomal RNA
Source: RNAcentral